This is a long non-coding RNA of Xiphophorus couchianus (Monterrey platyfish), 776 nucleotides long. RefSeq lists it as uncharacterized. The transcript has 3 exons. NCBI's taxonomy places the organism in Eukaryota, Metazoa, Chordata, Actinopteri, Cyprinodontiformes, Poeciliidae. The record is from RefSeq and is a predicted model, not a curated record.
UCCAAAGAGAAAACUAAUGGCUGCGUUCACACUGCUGCCGGAAGUGACCCAAUUCCGAUUUUUUUGUCAAAUCGGAUUUCUUUCUUGCGUGGUCGUUCACACUUCCAAAUAAAUGCGACUUGCAUGUGAUCUCCAGUGUGAACUGCAAACGACCUGAAAGUGUCCUGCAUCCGCAGUAGAGGGCGCAAUAACGUCACACAUAGAGAGCGUGCUCAGUGUUUUCCCAACCGCUGUAAAAACAGAAGUAGAGCUCAGUGUUUGCGGAAGUAAACAUGGAUGCUGACGGUGGAGCAUAACUUGCGGUUUUGAUGUUGUUGUCCAAUCGGAGCCAGAACAUUAACAACUUCAUCCUCAUUAUUGUUCCUCAUGGUUGUUUUUAUUCCCGUCUGCGUGUAUCAGGAGGCUAAAUAGUGACGUUUGUCCAGUAUCGAUGAUGUUCAGGACCAGGCCGUUAGGAUUCAUGUCCCAUUUGAAAAGAUCAGAUAUCCAAGUGAAAAAAAAAGACUUGUGUCAUUUAGACUGUCAUAGAAAGAUCAGAUAUAGGUCGCACUAAGCCAAACGACAACACAAAAACAUCGGAACUGGGUCACUUCUGGCUGGGGUCGCCACCUUUCAGAAAUCAGAAUAAGGGCCGCCCACCACGGCGCCGCCCAACUCUCAUGGGAAACGGCAGCGAUGAGCAGCAGUCGCUAAUCAUAAGGACUGGCGGCCCUCGGUGUAACCGUGGAUUUGCAGCGAACACAAGAUACCUGAAGAUUUGGGGUUAAACUAACUGG